GGUUGUCGUCAGCUCGUGUCGUGAGAUGUUGGUUAAGUCCCGCAACGAGCGCAACCCCUAUUGUUAGUUGCCAUCAUUCAGUUGGGCACUCUAGCGAGACUGCCGGUAAUAAACCGGAGGAAGGUGGGGAUGACGUCAAAUCAUCAUGCCCCUUAUGACCUGGGCUACACACGUGCUACAAUGGUUGGUACAACGAGUUGCGAGUCGGUGACGGCGAGCUAAUCUCUUUAAAGCCAAUCUCAGUUCGGAUUGUAGGCUGCAACUCGCCUACAUGAAGUCGGAAUCGCUAGUAAUCGCGGAUCAGCACGCCGCGGUGAAUACGUUCCCGGGCCUU
This 334-nucleotide ribosomal RNA is filed under the name uncultured Streptococcus sp. RNAcentral describes it as "bacterial SSU rRNA". It matches the Rfam family "Bacterial small subunit ribosomal RNA", at positions 1047 to 1382 of the family's 1533-position model. Lineage: Bacteria; Bacillati; Bacillota; Bacilli; Lactobacillales; Streptococcaceae. The record is from RNAcentral.